RNAcentral lists this ribosomal RNA (1404 nucleotides) under Alkaliphilus metalliredigens. RNAcentral's name for it is "bacterial SSU rRNA". It matches the Rfam family "Bacterial small subunit ribosomal RNA". Lineage: Bacteria; Bacillati; Bacillota; Clostridia; Peptostreptococcales; Natronincolaceae. The record is from RNAcentral. RNAcentral also lists the same sequence under 1 other name.
CCUCCUUAGAGUUUGAUCCUGGCUCAGGAUGAACGCUGGCGGCGUGCCUAACACAUGCAAGUCGAGCGGGUUAAUCUGACGGAAGCCUUCGGGUGGAAGAAAGUGAAACUAGCGGCGGACGGGUGAGUAACGNCGUGGGCAACCUACCUUNGUACAGGGGGACAACAACGGGAAACCGUUGCUAAUACCCCAUAAAACCCUAGAGGGGCAUCCCUUAAGGGUCAAAGAAUUUCGGUACAAGAUGGGCCCGCGUCUGAUUAGCUAGUUGGUGAGGUAAUGGCUCACCAAGGCGACGAUCAGUAGCCGACCUGAGAGGGUGAUCGGCCACACUGGAACUGAGACACGGUCCAGACUCCUACGGGAGGCAGCAGUGGGGAAUAUUGCACAAUGGGCGAAAGCCUGAUGCAGCAACGCCGCGUGAGCGAUGAAGGCCUUCGGGUCGUAAAGCUCUGUCCUAGGGGAAGAAUAUUGACGGUACCCUAGGAGGAAGCCCCGGCUAACUACGUGCCAGCAGCCGCGGUAAUACGUAGGGGGCAAGCGUUAUCCGGAAUCACUGGGCGUAAAGGGUGCGUAGGCGGUCUUGCAAGUCAGAGGUGAAAGGCUACGGCUCAACCGUAGUAAGCCUUUGAAACUGCUAAGACUUGAGUAUGGGAGAGGAAAGUGGAAUUCCUAGNNUAGCGGUGAAAUGCGUAGAUAUUAGGAGGAACACCAGUGGCGAAGGCGACUUUCUGGACCCAUUACUGACCGCUGAGGCACGAAAAGCGUGGGGGAGCAAACAGGAUUAGAUACCCUGGUAGUCCACGCCGUAAACAAUGAGUGCUAGGAUGUUGGGGGUCGAACCUCAGUGCCGCAGCUAACGCAUUAAGCACUCCGCCUGGGGAGUACGCUCACAAGCAGUGAAACUCAAAGGAAUUGACUGGGGACCCGCACAAGCAGCUGGAGCAUGUGGUUUAAUUCGAAGCAACGCGAAGAACCUUACCUGGACGUUGACAUCCCUCGGACCACUCCUUAACCGGAGUCUUCCCUUCGGGGACUGAGGUGACAGGUGGUGCAUGGUUGUCGUCAGCUCGUGUCGUGAGAUGUUGGGUUAAGUCCCGCAACGAGCGCAACCCUUGUCUUUAGUUGCCAGCAGUUCGGCUGGGCACUCUAGAGAGACUGCCGGGGAUAACUCGGAGGAAGGUGGGGAUGACGUCAAAUCAUCAUGCCCCUUAUGUUCAGGGCUACACACGUGCUACAAUGGCCGAUACAACGGGCAGCGAAGGAGUAAUCCGGAGCAAAUCCUAUAAAGUCGGUCCCAGUUCGGAUUGUGGGCUGAAACUCGCCCACAUGAAGCUGGAGUUGCUAGUAAUCGCGAAUCAGAAUGUCUGCGGUGAAUGCGUUCCCGGGUCUUGUACACUACCAGCC